This 28-nucleotide non-coding RNA is filed under the name Rattus norvegicus (Norway rat). Lineage: Eukaryota; Metazoa; Chordata; Mammalia; Rodentia; Muridae. The record is from RNAcentral.
UCUUUGUUUGCUGAUGUCUGUAUGCCUC